UACGUAGGGUGCAAGCGUUGUCCGGAAUUAUUGGGCGUAAAGAGCUCGUAGGCGGUCUGUCGCGUCGGCUGUGAAAACUCGGGGCUCAACCCCGAGCCUGCAGUCGAUACGGGCAGACUAGAGUGCGGUAGGGGAGACUGGAAUUCCUGGUGUAGCGGUGAAAUGCGCAGAUAUCAGGAGGAACACCGGUGGCGAAGGCGGGUCUCUGGGCCGUAACUGACGCUGAGGAGCGAAAGCGUGGGGAGCGAACAGG
This 253-nucleotide ribosomal RNA is filed under the name uncultured bacterium. RNAcentral's name for it is "partial 16S ribosomal RNA". It matches the Rfam family "Bacterial small subunit ribosomal RNA", at positions 524 to 776 of the family's 1533-position model. The record is from RNAcentral.